RNAcentral lists this ribosomal RNA (498 nucleotides) under uncultured bacterium. RNAcentral describes it as "partial 16S ribosomal RNA". It matches the Rfam family "Bacterial small subunit ribosomal RNA", at positions 28 to 507 of the family's 1533-position model. The record is from RNAcentral.
GACGAACGCUGGCGGCGUGCCUAAUACAUGCAAGUCGAACGAGAGCGACCGGUGCUUGCACUGGUCAAUCUAGUGGCGAACGGGUGAGUAACACGUGGGUAACCUGCCCAUCAGAGGGGGAUAACAUCCGGAAACGGAUGCUAAAACCGCAUAGGUCUUCGAGCCGCAUGGCUUGAAGAGGAAAAGAGGCGCAAGCUUCUGCUGAUGGAUGGACCCGCGGUGCAUUAGCUAGUUGGUGAGGUAACGGCUCACCAAGGCCGUGAUGCAUAGCCGACCUGAGGGGGUGAUCGGCCACAUUGGGACUGAGACACGGCCCAAACUCCUACGGGAGGCAGCAGUAGGGAAUCUUCCGCAAUGGACGCAAGUCUGACGGAGCAACGCCGCGUGAGUGAAGAAGGUGUUCGGAUCGUAAAACUCUGUUGUUAGAGAAGAACAAGUGCUAGAGUAACUGUUAGCGCCUUGACGGUAUCUAACCAGAAAGCCACGGCUAACUACGUG